Molecule: ribosomal RNA, 416 nt
Filed under: uncultured bacterium
Lineage: Bacteria
Description: bacterial SSU rRNA
Rfam family: Bacterial small subunit ribosomal RNA
Source: RNAcentral
AAUGAACGCUGGCGGCGCGCCUAAUACAUGCAAGUCGAGCGAGAAGACGUAGCAAUACGUUUGUAAAGCGGCGAACGGGUGAGGAAUACAUGGGUAACCUACCCUCGAGUGGGGAAUAACUAGCCGAAAGGUUAGCUAAUACCGCGUACGCUCCUUGGACUUCGGUUCAGGGAGGAAAGCGAUACCGUGGGUAUCGCGCUCUUGGAUGGGCUCAUGUCCUAUCAGCUUGUUGGCGAGGUAACGGCUCACCAAGGCUUCGACGGGUAGCUGGUCUGAGAGGACGAUCAGCCACACUGGCACUGCGACACGGGCCAGACUCCUACGGGAGGCAGCAGUAAGGAAUAUUGCGCAAUGGGCGAAAGCCUGACGCAGCGACGCCGCGUGGGGGAUGAAGGUCUUUCGGAUUGUAAACCCCC